Molecule: long non-coding RNA, 211 nt
Filed under: Elaeis guineensis (African oil palm)
Lineage: Eukaryota; Viridiplantae; Streptophyta; Magnoliopsida; Arecales; Arecaceae
Description: long non-coding RNA (EGUI_LNC022392)
Source: RNAcentral
GCCCAACUCACUUUACAGCCUUAGUAGCAAGGCUGCACCACUUUAAGUUGCCCGUCAGAGGGAUUUCACUCUUCUCAAUUCUGAAAUGGUUAGCGUCCGUCCAUUAGUUUCUUCUUUGUUCGGCUAUAGAGAAUUUGCAAUCUAUUUUGAUUUAUUUCAGGGUUUCACUGAAGCAGAAUAUUAUAUUUGCUCUUGAAAAAGAAUAAAAUGG